UAUAGAGUUAUAUUUAAUGCCAAGGUUCUGAUUCUCUCCAGUGGUCCAUGAAACAGAAAAGAAGGGAAUUGUUAGCUGGAAACUAAAUAUCCACACUGACAUCUAGUGAUCACUGCCUAAUCAUAAAAAUAAAGGCACGUAUUUCUAUUUAAAUGUUUAUUCUACAAUGCAAACAUAAUAAUUGGGACAUUAUUACUGAAUUGUAAUAUAUACAGUAUACAUUGCAAAAGUCUUAGGUGCCUUAAUAUUUUUUUCGUGACUUCAUCAUUAUACAAAAAACAUUUUAGAUUUCUGAAGAUUACUUUUCCAACAAAAAAAUAUUUGUAUCUCAGUAAAGACUAUGUGCAAAAACAGAAGCAAGUGCGACAGUCAGAGUCUCCAGAAGAACUGUCACAGAUUCUCCAAGAUGCUUAGAAAAACUAACCUGCCAAUUUCCUUCCUUCCACACCACUUAUAAACGCUUAAUACAAACAUAUAAAUGCAACCUGCACAGGAUUUUCACUAUGUAGACUUCAAAAAUAAGGUCAUAGUUUUUGACCCACCAUUUGCUCUUUUUAUGCUCCUGUCAAUGAAAUGUCUACUUAUGCUCACUUAUGCAAUACAGUCUAUGUAACUGGACAGAAAAUUGGAAACUCUGUAUAAAAGGGCUAUGAUUCCUAUAUGGUUUAUAUCAAAGAAACUAAACGUAUGUCAGUGUUCAGUGUUAAUACUAACUAACUGUGCUGUAUUUAUCCAAUGUUACAGAAGUCCUGUUCUUUACUCAGAUCCUCCAAACAUCAGCCAUGCACUUAUUCUUUUGAAGAGCAGAUGCUUCGUCCUUAUUUCACCUCGGGUGUAUGCUGCAUUGGUAUAGUCUUAUUUUCUUGGUUGACUCUUGAGUUUUGUCCCCCACCCCUUCUUCUUCUUCCUUUUUUCAUUCUUUCUUUUUUCUUUUCAGAGUGAUCUUGGCAAGUUUCCUGUAGAUCCCUUGAUAUAAUUACAGACUUCUUUGAGACACCUUUCAGCUCCUAGACUGAAUUUGGUAGGAGGCACUGAAAUGGAUAGCUUGCUAGUUGUCUGAAAUGAUGUAAGCUAGAUGAUAUUUUACACAAAGGAAGGAAUGACAUUUGUAUUGUUAUGCAAUGUAGAAGUGACCUUGCACAUUUACAGUAACUUACUUAAAGUAAUUUAAUUAAAAAAAUCUUAAACAUGAGAGUUUAAUAUUAUAACAAAUGUAUCAGACAAAAUGUGUUUAUUAAAGCAUCAUUUCAUUUCAGUUUACAUAAACAUAAGAUAUCAAAUUAUACAGCAGGAGCCUGAUGAAUUGAACAAUCAAUAAUUAAGAUAAGAAACAGUUCAAAUGGACAGUGAGCACAACAGAGACAGAAUCAAUGGAUUAAAGUCCACAGAAAAAUAAAGCAAGCUAUAUUAAAUAUAUAUUUAAAAUAUCAGACUAAGUAACAAAUGUUAGAUGCCCAGCUAGACUAACAUUAUCUAGUGCUGCUUAGCUUUACCUCCACUUUAUAUAUGUUGUACUUACCCUGCUUCACUAAAAUAACUGAAGCUGUGCAUUAUUUAAAUCAAAGCUUAGGAUAACAACAUAAAGGAAGAAAUGAAAAAUAGCCAGAUGACAUUCCUCUGCUGCUUCAGGUAAAAUGUUUUUUGUGCCUAGUUUUAAAGCAAAGUUAAUAAUACUGUAUACUAAAUGGUAUAUUACUAAUAUAGCUGCAGCAGGGUUACAGUGUAUACAGUAAGCUCAUUGUUACAAUAGAGUUCGUCAAUGUUGUAAAUAUUUCCCUUAAUAACAGCUCGGUUUUUUAUGGUAGAAUUGACAGAAAUAAUUUACAAUCAUUCACAAAUCAACAGCCUUUGAAAUGUUCUAACAAAAUUGAGAUCAAUUUUAUUAUUAUUAUUAUUAUUAUUAUUAUUAUUAUUAUUAUUAAGCAGAAUCAAUAUGCUAUAUCCUAACUUUAUGCUAAUCCUAAAUAAAUCAAUAUCCUAACUUUUAAGUUAAAAAUUAUUGUUCACCAUUUUAUUGUAAAUCAAUAACAUGCAUAACAUUUAUAACAUAUCUUUUUAAUAUCAGUAUAAACUAUAUAUAUAUCCAUCCAUCUUCUAUACCGCUUAUCCUACAGGAUUGUGGGAAACCUGGAUCACAAGGUGCGUCGGGCACAAGAUGGGAUACACAUUCACUCACCCACUCAUAUACUACGGACAUGCAUGUCUUUGGACUGGGGGAGGAAACCGGAGUACUCAGAGGAAACCCCCACAGCAUGGGGAGAACAUGCAAACUGCUGCGAUGGGAAUCGAACCCCCAUAUUGUGAGGUGAAUGUGCAAAUGUGCUAACCACUAAGCCACCUAAGCCAUUUUUUAUUAUGAUAAAAAAUAUUACCAAAAAAAGGGAAAUCUCGUAAAUAUUUGCAGUUCCAAAAAUACAUUACUUUUCCAAAUCCAUUUCCGAUCUUUGCCAUUUACCAUGGGUUACAGGGGCCGAUAUCUGAUAUGAUUUCUCCGAUAUCUGAUCCUCCAUUUUUUGCUGGUAUUGAUUACUGAUACUGAUCUGUGGCAUCUCUACUUAUAACACCAUUAGCUGUAAGCAAGGCUUGUUGAUGAACAUGUAGGUUUAAUUAAAGUUAGUAUUUCAGAAGGAUAAUACACACUCCUGAUAUGUAACCUAUUCCAAGAUACUACAAACAUAUAAUAAAAUAUAAUUAAUAAAUCACUGAGUCUGUGAAAUUAAACAUUUGCUGUUGCUUCAAUGAUGACAAAUACUGUCAGUAUACUGUGAAUAAAUACUACUGUGAGUAUUGUCAUUUCUUCUUACACUUUUUUGAGCUGAAAUUGUCAGGUUAUCCUGGUAUAUUAUUAUUAUUAUUAUUAUUAUUAUUAUUAUUAUUAUUAUUAUUAUUAUUAGUACUAGUAAGAUAAUUAAUUAUUAUUAUAAUUAAUAUAACGAUAAUUAUAAUUAAAGGAUAUUUUUAAGCAAAGCUUGGAACAUACCUUACAACCAAUCUAAGCUAAGAAUUACUUCCAUAAAGCAAGCUGAGAUGAAUGUACUAUUUAAAACUAUUUAAAUGUUUUCAAAAUUGUUUGGGGCGCCAUCACGUGGUUACUAACUAUACUGCAUUCACUUCUUAGAUUUAGCAGCCUAUAACCUACGUACUGCAAAAUCAUAUUGAGCACAAUUUCUGUCUAUUCGUGGAUGUAUUACUUAUUUGGUUAAUUACUUGUGUGUGGUUGGAUUCGUCAAGCUGGGAAGCAGCGAUGUAUCAGGUAUGAGUUGGAUUUCAUGCGGAUGCAGUCACACUGUUGUCCGAACCGUUGAGACAAGCACAAGGAAUGUUGUUGUCUUUGGUUGACUGCAGGAGUUGUUUUGACAUGGUCUGCCUGCAACUUAAUAACUGUUUCUAGCAGAGCUGCACCAAUAUUGCAAAUCCUUGCAUCAGUGCCUAUUGUUUCUACGGAGUGUGCCCAUACUAAUACUAAGGCUUUGCUCUUCUAAUUACAUUUACAUUUAGCAUGUGCUGUUCAUUUGGCGUCGACUUAUAAGAGAUUCAUAAUCCAAUUUCAUCUGUUCAGGUUGCUGACAGUGAUACAAGCGCCGCAAGACAAAGUUUAGCCACAUCAGCUGACCAGAAACAAUUCGAGAGAGAGAGAGAGAGAGAGAGAGAGAGAGAGAUGGUCCCAGAUCAGUCAGUCAAACUGAAAAUGAUGCAAUACUGCGAGUCCAAGAUAGACAACUUGCAAUAAAGAGUAAUAGCCUAUACUGUACAGGGUAAUAGAAACAUUAUCAUUUUCCUUUUUAGUGAUUACGAGUUUUGUUGCGCAAAAAUAUUAUUAGCCUAUAUUUUAUCGAUCUUUAAAAGACCAUUCAUAAAAAUACCGACUUAGAGACUGACAGGUUGAAGUAUCUCAAUGACUUUGUACAAGUAACUAAUUUUGUUUCUUGAAUAAGGAGAUGGUUGCAUUUUGUUACUUCGUGGUUCAUGACGAAGCGAGUCAAAUAUAUAUUCGUUCAUAUAUCACAUAAAAAUCGUCGACCAAAUGGUGAAAAACAACGCAACUAAUGCAUAUUAAUUGUCUGAUCGGAUCGGAUUGAUAACCGUAAUAUCCAAUAUUAUAAAUUUCAAUAUAAAAUUAGUUUCCAAUGUUAGCUUCGUCUUAUAUUUUAAAUAAGAGUUUUGGUGAAUUAAUUUGUUUUUGCACAGAAUGUCUUUAGUCUGAACGAAUGUGUUCUUCAUAAGUUGGUCUCGCAUUUUAGCUGAAAAUAUGCAGAUCUCUGUUUUUCUCUAUUUUAUUGAUGUUCUGGCCUUUUUUUUCUUUUUAAAAUGUAUACUUUUGUGUAGUAUAUGUAAUUGAUUGAUCAUGUUUACUCUGAACAGCGGAAGCGCUCUCUGAAGACGGUGUGGAAUUGGAGCUGUCCAUGGUGCUGAAUCAUUGACUGGCUCAUACACAGUCCCAUUCCAGCACAAUCUUACCCAGGAACCAUUUAGUGGAAAAUAUCCAGGAACCAUUUAAUGGAAAAUUCAAAUGUUUAAAUUAGUUGCACUGAGAGAAUAAUUAGACUAUUGUGUGAAUCAGAAAAUCUGGCAGUAUAUUUAAAUUUUUUUGUUUUCAAUUUUAAUUCUUAGGAACCAUAUCUAGUUGUGGUAACACACACAUCUGUGCGGAAAAUGUUGCUGGAAACAGUUUUAGUUUUAUUUAUUUAUUAUGUUGCCAUUGAUUCUAAAAAAGUUGAAAAUUACUUUUGUCAUAGUGCUAACAAAACACACAACAACAGCAUAAUAAUAAUAAUAAUAAUAAUAAUAAUAAUAAUAAUAAUAAUAAUAAUAGGUAGGUAACAGUUUAGUAGAAAUUUCAGACCGUUAAUAGCUUGGAGAAUGUGCUUUAUGUGAUCAGAUGCUGUUAAAAUUAAGGGUAGCCGAUUACAGAAAUAUUUUAUCCUCAGUUUAUGCGACAGCUUUAACACAAGGACUGUAUCGCUCCACGAAUGUCAGUAUUGUGAAUGUGCUAACUGGCUGCUGUGAAUCCUAACAUCGUGUUAAUUUACUGUUGGCUGUGACCAAAGGGGGAAAAAAUUAGGAUACCGCUUGUCAUAAUAUAUUUAGGCACUAGAGGGGGCUUGGAUCACGACCGAUCGGUAUUAUAGCACCACGUUUCAUCAACUACGUUUCGUUUUCCUUCAGCCAUUGGCAUUCUAUACCACCAUGUAAGAUUACACCUACUUCGUUGUCGUGAAAUAUAUGGAUUGGUUUUGAUUUAAGAUACUGUUUAUUACAUUUCUACGUGAUUGAGAGAACUGUGAUCUAGAUCUAGAGCUAUGUUUCACCACUGAUUCCAGUCAUUGGGGACGCAUAUGUCUAAAUUACUGAUUAGAUAUCCAAACGGGUGAAUACUAUUUUAAUAAUAUACCUGAUUUCAUCUGUACAGAAACAGUCACAUUUUUCUGUGUUCAAUCUAAAACACGUACAAAGAAAAUAAGGAAUAAAGCAAGCCUUCACAGUAGGCCUGCAGACAGAGUCCCGAGUGUACCAUCUUAGUAUCUAUAUUCAUCAUCAUAACUACCGUUUAGUGUAAAAUUAACGGUAACGAUUAACGACUUAACGAUUACAGGAUGUACCAUAAAUAAACAUGGGCAUGUAUUAACUUGUACUAGACAUUUUUAAGUGCAAGACAAAUUCCACAACUGAUGGACAAGUGUGUGUGUGUGUGUGUGUGUGUGUGUGUGUGUGUGUGUGUGUAGGAGAAUGAGGGAGCGAGCACACCUGUAAAUGUUUAAAUGACAAAACAAACUGCUAUUUUUACAUUCCAAAAAGUAAGCAUUUCAGAAGGACAAAUAUAAGAUAAUUCGAAACGAACGAUAAAAUUCUCCCUGUCUAUCUAUCUUUUUCCGUCUAUACUUUCGCAUCUGUCUGUCUUUGUGUCUUUCAUUUCACACACACACACACACACACACACACACACACACACACACACACACACACACACACACUGUUGAUUAAUAAAAUAUAUAAAUAAAAAUAACAACCAGUGCUCACUUUUAUAUUUUUUUUCCACAGACCACUAAUCCCUUUGAUUAGAUCUAAUACCUGCCAAAACCCAGAUGGCAUGCCCACACAUCGCUCCCUGUGAUAAUGCCAUUGUGGAAUCUACCUAUUAAUAUUAAUUUUCAGUCUCCGCAAAUGUCUGAACUGCUAAGGCUUGAAAUUUCUUCAAAAAGCCAUGGCAUGACUUACCAGGGAUUUUAAAAGAUAAUUCCUAUUCCACCUCUUUUUCCUCGCUUUGAAGUGAGAAUCGCAUCCACUAUCUUGGAUUAAGGUAGUUAAAAGGUUUCCAUUUCUGCUCACGGUAUAAGAUGAGCACCAUAUAGAAUUUCACGUUUUCAUGAUUUUCACGUCUCCAAUUUAACUCCCAGGAUAUUUGUAGACCCUUUAUCUUAAUACAUAGUCUGCUCAAUUCCUAUGUGAUUGAAAAUAGAACUAUUAAGGUAUUUGUCACGGGUUUACAAGCUGCAAAAGGUAGGCCUAAUCACCAUCUUCAGCACACUGAAGUCUCGAAAUAAAAUGGCGACGUGUUCAGGACAACCAUCAAGGCCUUGUUGCUCUAAAUGUGUCAGUGGGUCUGUUUAAAAUCUCCACAUCAAUCUUUAAAUCUACUAUUAAUUUGCGUUCCUGUGUUCAAGGCCAAACAUAAACAAACUAAAGAGCUCUGAUACACUAGACAUUAAUGUAUCAGCGGAAUGUAUUAUGCUUUUAAUGGCUGCCCUUACGUGAAAAUGGUGUUUUUAGAGUUAAAUGUACACGAUGAUUUUUAUGACAAAAAGAUGUCAAGAAAUAAAUAUAAAGGAACAGGGUAUUGCUCCACCCUUAUCCAAGUCUAAAUACAGUUAUUGAGCUGAAAGUGCACUUUGUAAACAAUAAUGUUGUUAAUGAAUAAACAAACAAGGAAACAAACCAAUCAACCAAUAAAUCAAUCCCUCAUACCUUUGCUCAUGAUGUAAGAAUAUUCAUGAACUUGUACACAUUAUCCUACUUAAACACAAAUAUUUUAUGUACUGAGAAAAAUGGUAGUCUAACAACAAUAACAACAACAACAACAACAACAACAAUAAUAAUAAUAA
This is a long non-coding RNA of Ictalurus punctatus (channel catfish), 7100 nucleotides long. Lineage: Eukaryota; Metazoa; Chordata; Actinopteri; Siluriformes; Ictaluridae. The record is from Ensembl.